GACGUUGUGGUGUAACAGUUAGCACAGUCGGCACGUAUUCGAAAGGUCCAGGUUCGAGUCCUGGCGAUGGCA
RNAcentral lists this transfer RNA (72 nucleotides) under Stegodyphus mimosarum. It matches the Rfam family "tRNA". From Rfam's summary of the family: Transfer RNA (tRNA) molecules are approximately 80 nucleotides in length. Their secondary structure includes four short double-helical elements and three loops (D, anti-codon, and T loops). Lineage: Eukaryota; Metazoa; Arthropoda; Arachnida; Araneae; Eresidae. The record is from Rfam by way of RNAcentral.